RNAcentral lists this ribosomal RNA (254 nucleotides) under uncultured bacterium. RNAcentral's name for it is "partial 16S ribosomal RNA". It matches the Rfam family "Bacterial small subunit ribosomal RNA", at positions 524 to 776 of the family's 1533-position model. The record is from RNAcentral.
UACGGGGGGAGCAAGCGUUGUUCGGAUUUACUGGGCGUAAAGGGCGCGUAGGCGGCCUCCGCAGGUCAGUUGUGAAAUCUCCGAGCUUAACUCGGAAAGGUCAACUGAUACUGCGGGGCUAGAGUCCGGAAGAGGCGAGUGGAAUUCCUGGUGUAGCGGUGGAAUGCGCAGAUAUCAGGAGGAACACCAAUAGCGAAGGCAGCUCGCUGGGACGGUACUGACGCUGAGGCGCGAAAGCGUGGGGAGCAAACAGG